UGUGCCGCAAAAGCAUGCUCAAGCGGCAGAGUCGAUUUCCGCGCUUAUAAACCCAGGGUCGUUACACUACUCCCUCCUUUCAAAGAGCGCGUCCUCGCGACUUUACGUCUUACAGGAACGCGCUCACCGGCCAAGCACACGCACUGUCGUGGAUGCGAGGUCCGAUCACUUCCGACACCAAUGUAAUGAAACAGGCAGGGAGCAGGUCUCGAACCCUCGACCUCCUAGCCCGAGGUCCGGCGCGCUAUCGACUGUGCCGCAAAAGCAUGCUCCAGCGGCAGAGUCGAUUUCCGCGCUUAUAAACCCAGGGUCGUUACAAUAUAUUCCUUAUACACGCAAGGUAACGUUACUCAUUUCAUAACCUUGAUGGUGUUAUAUUCAAUCGUGCUUAUGUAGCUCGCUACAUUCUUCUAUUAGCUCUGUAAAACAAUGCUAAUUUCGUCAGAGAAGUAUUAGCUUGUGUUGUAUUUUGAAGCUACCCUGGCCUUAUGAAUCCCAAGUGGCGCAGCGGUCUAAGGCACAGCAUCUCAGCGCUAGAGGCGUCACUACAAACACCCUGGUUUAAAUCCAGGCUGCGUUUCUAUUAAAAAACCACAAACAGUAUUUGCCAAUAUCAUAACUGGAACUGGAGCUGGACAUCUUACAAGCUGAAGGUUGAGGCCAGCUUUGUAUGCUAGCGUACACUCCUUAACAGUUUUACUGGAUGAAAACACAGCAAGAAAACACAUACUGUAUGCCAAUAUGUAAUAGUCAUCUAUUUUAUUGCAGUAUUGGUUGUGGUUGGUUGAACAACAACAACAAAAACUUGUUUUACUAGAGGAAAAAAAUGGAAUAUGCAUAACCCAUAUUUCAUAUUCAUGCUGUGACUGAACAAUAACUGCCCCAAAGUGGUCCUCAGAUUCAGGGUUCUCAAUGGCUGAAAGGUUGGGGCAGCUCCUCACUGUCAGAAUCUGAUUCCUGACCUUCAGACUUAAUGUCAGAAUUUUAAAAAAUCUCCAGAAUUUCCGCAUUUGUGAGUUGUCUCCUUUUGAAAGACAUUGCUAAUGCUACAGCUUAGCUCACUAGCUACAUACAUACAGUUGAAGUCAAAAGUUUACAUACACUUAGAUUGGAGUCAUUAAAACUUGUUUUCAACCACUCCACAAAUCUCUUGUUAACGAACCAUAGUUUUGGCAAGUCAGUUAGGACAUCUACUUUGUGCAUGACGCAAGUCAUUUUUCCAACAAUUGUCUACAGACAGAUUAUUUCACUUAUAACUCACUGUAUCACAAUUCCAGUGGGUCAGAAGUAGAGGUCAACCGAUUAUGAUUUUUCAACGCCGAUACCGAUUAUUGGAGGGCCAAAAAAGCCGAUACCGAUUAAUCGGACGGUUUUUAAAAUGUAUUUGUAAUAAUGACAAUUACAACAAUACUGAAUGAACACUUAUUUUAACUUAAUAUAAUACAUCAAUAAAAAUUCAUUUAACUUCAAAUAAAUAAUGAAACAUGUUCAAUUUGGUUUAAAUAAUGCAAAAACAAAGUGUUGGAGAAGAAAGUAAAAGUGCAACAUGUGCCAUGUAAAAAAGCUAACGUUUAAGUUCCUUGCUCAGAACAUGAGAUCAUAUGAAAGCUGGUGGUUCCUUUUAACAUGAUACUUCAAUAUUCCAAGGUAAGAGGUUUUAGGUUGUAGUUAAUAUAGUAUUUAUAGGAAUAUUUCUCUCUAUACCAUUUGUAUUCCAUAUACCUUUGACUAUUGGAUGUUCUUAUAGGCACUUUAGUAUUGCCAGUGUAACAGUAUAGCUUCCGUCCCUCUCCUCGUGCUGUGCUUCAAGCAUUGCGCUGUUUAUGACUUCAAGCCUAUCAACUCCCGAGAUUAGGCUGGUGUAACCGAUGUGAAAUGGCUAGCUAGUUAGCGGGGUGCACGCUAAUAGCGUUUCAAACGUCACUCGCUCUGAUGGGUCACCAUGCUCUGCAUGGGUAACGCUGCUUCGAGGGUGGUUGUUGUCAAUGUGUUCCUGGUUCGAGCCCAGGUAGGCUGGUUCGAGCCCAGGUAGACCCAAUGCUUGAAGCACAGUGAAGAGCUGCUGGCAAAACGCACUAAAGUGCUGUUUGAAUGAAUGCUUACGAGCCUGCUGCUGCCUACCAUCGCUCAGUCAGACUGCUCUAUCAAAUAUCAAAUCAUAGAUUUAAUUAUAACAUAAUAACACACAGAAAUACGAGCCUUUGGUCAUUAAUAUGGUCGAAUCCGGAAACUAUAAUUUCGAAAACAAAACGUUUAUUAUUAUCGCAUAUAAGAAGUGACACAAUUUCACCUCGUUAAUAUUGCCUGCUAACCUGGAUUUCUUUUAGCUAAAUAUGCAGGUUUAAAAAUAUAUACUUCUGUGUAUUGAUUUUAAGAAAGGCAUUGAUGUUUAUGGUUAGGUACACGUUGGUACAAGUCAUUUUUCUGCGAAUGCGCACCGCAUCGAUUAUAUGCAACGCAGGACACGCUAGAUAAACUAGUAAUUUCAUCAACCAUGUGUAGUUAACUAGUGAUUAUGAUUGAUUGAUUGAUUGUUUUUUAUAAGAUAAGUUUAAUGCUAGCUAGCAACUUACCUUUGCUUCUUACUGCAUUCGCGUAACAGGCAGGCUCCUCGUGAAGUGCAAUGAGAGGCAGGUGGUUAGAGCAUUGGACUAGUUAACUGUAAGGUUGCAAGAUUGAAUCCCGGAGCUGACAAGGUAAAAAUCUGUCGUUCUGCCCCUGAACAAGGCAGUUAACCCACCGUUCCUAGGCCAUCAUUGAAAAUAAGAAUGUGUUCUUAACUGACUUGCCUAGUUAAAUAAAGGUGUAAAAACUUGUUAUGAAAACUUGAAAUCGUCCCUAAUUAAUUGGCCAUUCCGAUUAAUCGGUCGACCUCUAGUCAGAAGUUUACAUACACUAAGUUGACUGUGCCUUUAAACAGCUUGGAAAAUUCCAGAAAAUUAUGUCAUGCUUUAGAAGCUUCUGAUAGGCUAAUUGACAUCAUUUGAGUCAAUUGGAGGUGUACCUGUGGAUGUAUUUCGAGGCCUACCUUCAAACUCAGAGCCUCUUUGCUUGAUAUCACGGGAAAAUCCAAAGAAAUCAGCCAAGAACUCAGAAAAAACAUUGUAGACCUCCACAAGUCUGGUUCAUCCUUGGGAGCAAAUUCCAAACGCCUGAAGGCACCACGUUCAUCUGUACAAACAAUAGUAUGCAAGUAUAAACACCAUGGGACCACGCUGCCGUCAUGCAGGAAGGAGACGUGUUCUGUCUCCUAGAGAUGAAUGUACUUUGGUGCGAAACGUGCAAAUCAAUCCCAGAACAACAGCAAAGGACCUUGUGAAGAUUCUGGAGGAAACAAGUACAAAAGUAUCUAUCCACAGUAAAACGAGUCCUAUAUUGACAUAACCUGAAAGGCCGGUCAGCAGGAAGAAGCCACUGCUCCAAAACCGCCGUAAAAAAAGCCAGACUAUGGUUUGCAACUGCACAUAGGGACAAAGAUCGUGCUUUUGCAAAAAAUGUCCUCUGGUCUGAUGAAACAAAAAUAGAACUGUUUGGCCAUAAUGACCAUCAUUAUGUUUGGAGGAAAAAGGGGGAGGCUUGCAUGCCGGAGAACACCAUCCCAACCUUGAAGCACAGGGGUGGCAGCAUCAUGUUGUUGUGGUGCUUUUCUGCAGGAGGGACUGGUGCAUUUCACAAAAUAGAUGGCAUCAUGAGAAAGGAAUAUUAUGUGGAUAUAUUGAAGCAACAUCUCAAGACAUCAGUCAGGAAGUUAAAGCUUGGUCGCAAAUGGUUCUUUCAAAUGGACAAUGACCCCAAGCAUACUUCCAAAGUUGUGGCAAAAUGGCUUAAGGACAACAAAGUCAAGGUAUUGGAGUGGCCAUCACAAAGCCCUGACUUCAAUCCUAUAGAAAAUUUGUGAGCAGAACUGAAAAAGUGUGUGCGAGCAAGGAGGCUUAGAAACCUGAUUAAGUUACACCAGCUCUGUCAGAAGGAAUGGGCCAACAUUCACCCAACUUAUUGUGGGAAGCUUGUUGAAGGCUACCCGAAACAUUUGACCCAAGUUAAACAAUUUAAAGGCAAUGCUACCAAAUACUAAUUGAGUGUAUGUAAACUUCUGACCCACUGGGAAUGUGAUGAAAGAAAUAAACGCUGAAAUAACUCAUUCUCUCUACUAUUAUUCUGACAUUUCACAUUCUUAAAAUAAAGUGGUGAUCCUAACUGACCUAAGACAGGGAAUUUUUACUAGGAUUAAAUGUCAGGAAUUGUGAAAACUGAAUUUAAAUGUAUUUGGCUAAGGUGUAUGUAAACUUCCGACUUCAACUAUAUAUACAAUUACUAAUCAGGGGAAUUGGAAUAGGUGUGCGUAAUGAGACAGUUCACUGAUGUCUAGAGGCCGGUGACGUAGACCUCCGGAACUGGUGCAUGGAAGGGCAGCAGUGCCGGGGGAAUCCGUGACAAUAUCUCAGUUUCAAGGUCUCAGCUUGGAGAGAAGAAGCCUCGUGCGGUAUUGGUCAAUCACAUACAUGAAACAAACGUUAAUGAUGAAUUAAUUAUGAAUAAUAUAAAUCAUGCAAAUAUAACUUGUCAGUGUAAGCAGUAUAUAUGAGAACUAACAGGACUGCCCCGGUGGAGCUCACUUCAAACUGAGUUGAAAUGUAUUUGGCUAAGGUGUAUGUAAACUUCCGACUUCAACUGUAAACAACAACACUGAAUGGCUCAGAGUGGGAGUGAGAGGUUACGUGAUUGACUGCCGGCACGCGCCACUUGUAUCAAUAAAUCACGAUCAGAAAAUG
Molecule: long non-coding RNA, 4772 nt
Organism: Salvelinus fontinalis (brook trout)
Lineage: Eukaryota; Metazoa; Chordata; Actinopteri; Salmoniformes; Salmonidae
Exons: 2
Source: RefSeq, a predicted model, not a curated record